GAUGAACGCUGGCGGCGUGCCUAAUACAUGCAAGUCGAGCGAACCACUUCGGUGGUGAGCGGCGAACGGGUGAGUAACACGUAGGUGAUCUGCCCAUCAGACGGGGACAACGAUUGGAAACGAUCGCUAAUACCGGAUAGGACGAAAGUUUAAAGGUGCUUCUGGCACCGCUGAUGGAUGAGCCUGCGGCGCAUUAGCUAGUUGGUAGGGUAAAGGCCUACCAAGGCGACGAUGCGUAGCCGACCUGAGAGGGUGAACGGCCACACUGGGACUGAGACACGGCCCAGACUCCUACGGGAGGCAGCAGUAGGGAAUCUUCGGCAAUGGGCGAAAGCCUGACCGAGCAACGCCGCGUGAAUGAUGAAGGCCUUCGGGUUGUAAAAUUCU
This 387-nucleotide ribosomal RNA is filed under the name uncultured bacterium. Its description in RNAcentral is "bacterial SSU rRNA". It matches the Rfam family "Bacterial small subunit ribosomal RNA", at positions 28 to 434 of the family's 1533-position model. The record is from RNAcentral.